CCUACGGGUGGCAGCAGUGGGGAAUAUUGGACAAUGGGCGAAAGCCUGAUCCAGCCAUGCCGCGUGUGUGAAGAAGGCCUUUUGGUUGUAAAGCACUUUAAGUGGGGAGGAAAAGUUGACGGUUAAUACCCGCCAGCCCUGACGUUACCCACAGAAUAAGCACCGGCUAACUCUGUGCCAGCAGCCGCGGUAAUACAGAGGGUGCAAGCGUUAAUCGGAAUUACUGGGCGUAAAGCGAGCGUAGGUGGUCAUUUAAGUCAGAUGUGAAAUCCCCGGGCUUAACCUGGGAACUGCAUCUGAUACUGGGUGACUAGAGUAGGUGAGAGGGAAGUAGAAUUCCAGGUGUAGCGGUGAAAUGCGUAGAGAUCUGGAGGAAUACCGAUGGCGAAGGCAGCUUCCUGGCAUCAUACUGACACUGAGGUUCGAAAGCGUGGGUAGCAAACAGGAUUAGAUACCCUUGUAGUC
Molecule: ribosomal RNA, 465 nt
Filed under: uncultured Moraxella sp.
Lineage: Bacteria; Pseudomonadati; Pseudomonadota; Gammaproteobacteria; Moraxellales; Moraxellaceae
Description: bacterial SSU rRNA
Rfam family: Bacterial small subunit ribosomal RNA
Source: RNAcentral